UGCGCCCCCAGAGGAGGGUCACUGUGGGGACAAACAGCACACAUGCUGCACACGGGCACCUCCCCCACAUAAUCAGUACAGCUGUCACCCUGGUCCAGGCUGACUGCGGGACACAAGGACAUCAUUCCCCGUCCUCCCGUGGCUACAAGACACAUAAGUCGCCCAAAGCCCCUCCCGAGCCCCCAUCUACCCGAGUCUCAAGUGCACAGAGCCUGACCCGGGGCGGCGCCGGGACGUGGGGACCUGCCCCCUCGGGGGCCCUGAGCCACCUGACCCCCCCCUCCGCCACCACCCACCCCCCUCCCCCGGAACAGGGACAGCACCCGCCGCCGCGGAGCCUUACCGCGCGUCCCAGGAAAGUUUCCCUGUCCCUACAGAAGCGGACGACGGCGACACGUCGGUGACCCGGCGCACGACCCGGCAAACGCGCGAGCCCCUUACCAUCUCUCCGGAGGCCGGCGGCGCGCAGGGCCCGCAGGGACGCGCUCUGCGGGGCCGCGGGGGCGUCCCGACAGCCGCACAGAGGUCAGCCGAGGUCCAGACCCCACAAAACCUCCUCCUGCCGAAUCUUUGGAAAGUCAGCAGUAGCCUAGCUCUGUGUCACCGUGCCUGCGACCGUCCUCACCUCCUACCAUCUCAUCUGGCAGGCAUUCGCUCACGUCAACUCCUCAUAAGAAGCGUGAGUCCAGCAAGAUAUUUGAGAGAGAGACCACAUCCCCAUAACUUGUAGUACCGUAUAAUAAAAUUGUUAUAAUUGUUCA
Lynx canadensis (Canada lynx) is the source of this 761-nucleotide long non-coding RNA. RefSeq lists it as uncharacterized. The record is from RefSeq and is a predicted model, not a curated record. NCBI's taxonomy places the organism in Eukaryota, Metazoa, Chordata, Mammalia, Carnivora, Felidae. The transcript has 2 exons.